Molecule: small nuclear RNA, 153 nt
Filed under: Pogona vitticeps (central bearded dragon)
Lineage: Eukaryota; Metazoa; Chordata; Lepidosauria; Squamata; Agamidae
Description: U1 spliceosomal RNA (ENSPVIG00000022339.1)
Rfam family: U1 spliceosomal RNA
About the family: U1 is a small nuclear RNA (snRNA) component of the spliceosome (involved in pre-mRNA splicing). Its 5' end forms complementary base pairs with the 5' splice junction, thus defining the 5' donor site of an intron. There are significant differences in sequence and secondary structure between metazoan and yeast U1 snRNAs, the latter being much longer (568 nucleotides as compared to 164 nucleotides in human).
Source: RNAcentral
ACUCAUAUCUUGCAUGGGAAAUACUAUGUCAUAAAAGUGGUUUUCCAGGGGGAGGCUUAUCCAUUUUGCUUUGGGUAUGCUGCUGAUCCCUAUGAUUUCUCCAAAUGUAUAAAACUAAAUAGCAUAAUUUGUGUUAAUGGGUGAUUUCUCUGG